Non-coding RNA from Canis lupus familiaris (dog), 113 nucleotides. NCBI's taxonomy places the organism in Eukaryota, Metazoa, Chordata, Mammalia, Carnivora, Canidae. The record is from Rfam.
UUGCCACGGUCUUCCUUCCAGGUCUCCUCCAUAGGAACCGCGACGGUGCCCCCAACUUAGUUCGCCGGCUGCGGCGCUGACUAACUACCGUUGGAUGCCUUUAAGGUCUUAAC